Molecule: unclassified non-coding RNA, 364 nt
Filed under: uncultured Ascomycota
Lineage: Eukaryota; Fungi; Ascomycota
Description: sequence contains ITS2
Rfam family: 5.8S ribosomal RNA (bases 1-154)
Source: RNAcentral
AACUUUCAACAAUGGAUCACUUGGCUCUGGCAUCGAUGAAGAACGCAGCGAAAUGCGAUAAGUAAUGUGAAUUGCAGAAUUCAGUGAAUCAUCGAAGCGUUGAACGCACAUUGCGCCCCUUGGUAUUCCGAGGGGCAUGCCUAUUCGAGCGUCAUUAUCACCCCUCAAGCCUAGCUUGGUGUUGAGGCCUGCUGUCAAGGCAGCCUCUAAAAUCAGUGGCAGUGCUGUCAGGCUCUAAGCGUAGUAAAAUUCAUCGCUAUAGACACCUGGUGGACACUCGCCAGAACACCCCCAUUUUUUAAUGAUUGACCUCGGAUUCGGUAGGGAUACCCGCUGAACUUAAGCAUAUCAAUAAGCGGAGGCU